Molecule: long non-coding RNA, 1287 nt
Organism: Humulus lupulus (European hop)
Lineage: Eukaryota; Viridiplantae; Streptophyta; Magnoliopsida; Rosales; Cannabaceae
Exons: 3
Source: RefSeq, a predicted model, not a curated record
AAGCCCAUUAGUUCGGGUCUUGCCAUUCUCUUAGAAAAUUUCUCGGAAAGCAAGAGCAAACAGCAGCUAUUACUGAGAAGAAAUCGAUGUCGACGGAGGAGGUAACGCCCCAAACGCCAACAGAUUGAGAGGAGCUCGGUAUUGUUGGAGCAAAGCUUAUCGCUAGAGACUUCUCUGUCGUCAGAACUGUCUCAUUCGAACCAUUCAGAGGCAUGAACGCUCAAGCUUUGUUCGGUGGCCCUGAGGUUUUAGGAGAAAGGGCUAACAGGAGGAGGAAGCAGUUAGCGAACAAGGAUAAGAGGACCCUUGUAGAGUUUUUUUCUAUUCGUUCAGGCUAGAGUCGGCCUCUAGCUGGGGUUACACCGCCAGCCCCUGCAACAACUGCUAGUGUGGUUCCCACGACCAGGUCCUUAUCUCAUAUACAACUUUCUUGUGUUCAAAUAGUGGUACCUAGAUUUGAAGAGGUCAUCCAAAGUGAUCAAGUACGGGCAGAAUGGUCUUUCUCCAGAGUUUGCAUCACUAGCGGAUCGUUCGCCAUUCUAAUGCCAACACUGUUUAGUUGAAGAAGGAUAAGGAAGAUACAUGUCGUGCCCUCAUGUCUGAGAUAGACACUAUUCGUGGUGAGAGGAAAAGUUGUAGGAUUGAGCUCGAGCAACUCAAAAGCUCUUCUUGUACCAAGAUCAAUCAACUAAAGGCUAAGAUUGACUGUCUUCAAAAGUCUCAUGUUGUUGAGGUUGAGCAACUUAAAGCUAAUACGGAAGGUGAUCGCCUUCAAACCCUUGAAGAAGGAGUUGUCUUAAAUAAUAUGUUCUUUUAGGUCUGGAAACAUAAUCGCAACAUUGAUUUAAAAUUUCUGAAUGGCGGAGAGAAGUCCUUACUAGAGGCUUGCGAACAUAGACUUGUUGAUGAAUAAAACUCUUCUAUUCGGACCUCCUUAGUGCUGUCAGGGGAUGGUGAUGUUUCAAGGCUUGAAGUUCUCCCCACAAGCACUUCUGUUGACCCUUUAGCUACCUCGGGCGACCAUACCCUUGAACUAGAGUCUUGAUGGCCUAGUCUCUGGUGCAUCUCAUGUUUGAGUAUUUUGUACAUGCAUACUCAUGACUAUUUAUUUUCUGUUGUAGUCUGUACUUGCAUGCCAAUAAACAAACCAUUUUACCUUUUGUUCUUAGUGCAAACAGAAUAGUUUUCCUUUUGUGCAUGAUGCGAACAAAGGCUAUUUACAUGUACCAGCGAAUAGACUAGUCUGCCUUUUGUGAAUGGUAUGAACAUCUUGUGUGUGUUUUAUAA